This 269-nucleotide ribosomal RNA is filed under the name uncultured bacterium. RNAcentral describes it as "partial 16S ribosomal RNA". It matches the Rfam family "Bacterial small subunit ribosomal RNA", at positions 88 to 354 of the family's 1533-position model. The record is from RNAcentral.
CCGGCGACCGGCGCACGGGUGAGUAACACGUAUGCAACCUGCCCGUGGCAGGGGGAUAAGCGGGGGAAACCCCGUCUAAUACCGCGUAACGCGGCCUAGGGACAUCCCAAGGCCGCCAAAGGAGCAAUCCCGGCCACGGAUGGGCAUGCGGCGCAUUAGCUAGUCGGCGGGGUAACGGCCCACCGAGGCGACGAUGCGUAGGGGUUCUGAGAGGAAGGCCCCCCACACUGGUACUGAGACACGGACCAGACUCCUACGGGAGGCAGCAG